UACAGAGGGUGCAAGCGCUAAUCGGAAUUACUGGGCGUAAAGCGCGCGUAGGCGGUAUGUUAAGUCGGAUGUGAAAUCCCUGGGCUCAACCUAGGCAUUGCAUCCGAUACUGGCACACUAGAGUGUGGGAGAGGAAGGUAGAAUUCCAGGUGUAGCGGUGAAAUGCGUAGAGAUCUGGAGGAAUACCGAUGGCGAAGGCAGCCUUCUGGCCUAACACUGACGCUGAGGUGCGAAAGCAUGGGGAGCAAACAGG
Molecule: ribosomal RNA, 253 nt
Filed under: uncultured bacterium
Lineage: Bacteria
Description: partial 16S ribosomal RNA
Rfam family: Bacterial small subunit ribosomal RNA
Source: RNAcentral